This 923-nucleotide ribosomal RNA is filed under the name uncultured bacterium. Its description in RNAcentral is "bacterial SSU rRNA". It matches the Rfam family "Bacterial small subunit ribosomal RNA", at positions 8 to 907 of the family's 1533-position model. The record is from RNAcentral.
AGAGUUUGAUCAUGGCUCAGGAUGAACGCUAGCGACAGGCCUAACACAUGCAAGUCGAGGGGCAUCGGGACGUAGCAAUACGUUGCCGGCGACCGGCGGAUGGGUGAGUAACGCGUAUGCAACCUACCCGUAGCAGGGGGAUAGCCCGUUGAAAGACGGAUUAAUACCCCGUAACACAGGGGCUCCGCAUGGAGAUUAUUGUUAAAGGGUCAUUUCUUUUUCAGGGAUGGUCCGGCUGCGGAUGGGCAUGCGUUCCAUUAGGUAGUUGGUGUAGGUAACUGCUCACCAAGCCGACGAUGGAUAGGGGAACUGAGAGGUUGGUCCCCCACACUGGUACUGAGACACGGACCAGACUCCUACGGGAGGCAGCAGUGAGGAAUUUUGGUCAAUGGACGCAAGUCUGAACCAGCCAUGUCGCGUGAAGGAGGACGGCCCUAAGGGUUGUAAACUUCUUUUGCAGUGGAAUAAAGUUUGCCACGUGUUGGCGAUUUGCAAGUACGCUGCGAAUAAGGAUCGGCUAACUCCGUGCCAGCAGCCGCGGUAAUACGGAGGAUCCAGGCGUUAUCCGGAUUUAUUGGGUUUAAAGGGUGCGCAGGCGGGGAAUUAGGUCGGCGGUGAAAUUUCGGGGCUCAACCUCGACAGUGCCGUUGAAACCGUUUCUCUUGAGUGCGGAUGAGGUAGGCGGAAUUUGUGGUGUAGCGGUGAAAUGCGUAGAUAUCACAAGGAACACCGAUUGCGGAGGCAGCUUACUAAACCGUUACUGACGCUCAUGCACGAAAGCGUGGGGAUCAAACAGGAUUAGAUACCCUGUAGUCCACGCAGUAAACGAUGAUUACUUGCUGUUUGCGAUACACAGUAAGCGGCGAAGCGAAAGCGUUAAGUAAUCCACCUGGGGAGUACGUUCGCAAGAAUGAACUCAAGGA